AUCACUUCUCAGCUUUUCGGCUAAGAUCAGGUGUCGUAUCUGUUCUAAUCAGUUUAAUAUCUGAUACGUCUGCUUUCCUAGCCCCUGUUUUUACGAGUGUAUUCGGUUGUUUUCGGUCCCUGGCCUGUUUUCCAUGGUGACCUGAUUUAUUUUCCUGGGGUAUGAGAUUCGGUACCCCACUAUGUAUGAGUGGACCGAUG
Molecule: small nuclear RNA, 200 nt
Organism: Hyla sarda
Lineage: Eukaryota; Metazoa; Chordata; Amphibia; Anura; Hylidae
Product: U2 spliceosomal RNA
Exons: 1
Source: RefSeq, a predicted model, not a curated record